GUUCCAUCAAGUUCUCCAUCUUCCUCUGCAGUUGCUUCCUGGUAUUGCUGGUAUUCUGAGACAAGAUCGUUCAUAUUACUCUCAGCUUCAGUGAAUUCCAUCUC
RNAcentral lists this small RNA (104 nucleotides) under Caenorhabditis elegans. Its description in RNAcentral is "Unclassified non-coding RNA C54C6.12". Lineage: Eukaryota; Metazoa; Nematoda; Chromadorea; Rhabditida; Rhabditidae. The record is from RNAcentral.